Molecule: long non-coding RNA, 206 nt
Filed under: Lathyrus oleraceus (garden pea)
Lineage: Eukaryota; Viridiplantae; Streptophyta; Magnoliopsida; Fabales; Fabaceae
Description: Pisum sativum (pea) long non-coding RNA (PSAT_LNC021105)
Source: RNAcentral
ACAAUGUGGUCAAACUGAUCCACAGUAACAUCAUGCUCAACAUAGGCUAGCUCCAACACUAUUUGCAAUGCUUCUCUGUGCGCUUCUGAAUUCAUUAACAGAGACAACACUGAAAUCUUCGACGGAGUUUAGAGUAGCUGCUCCACCAUAUUAAACUCACUUCUCUUAAUUAACCUUAACACUUCAUCAUCAUCAUUAGUCUUCAG